ACCAGGUGCGGUGGCACAUGCCUGUAGUCCCAGCUACUCGGGAGGCAGAGGUGGGAGGAUUGCUUGAACCCAGGAAUUCUGAGCUGUAGUGUGCUAUGCCGAUCGGGUGUCUGCACUAAGUUCGGCAUCAUGAUGACCUCCCGGGAACAGGAGACCACCUGGUUGCCUAAGGAGAAGUGAACCAGCCCAGGUCGGAAUCGGAUCAGGUCAAAACUCUUGUGCUGAUCAGUAAUGGGAUUGCACCUGUGAAUAGCCACUGCACUCCAGCCUGGGCAACAGAGUGAGACUCCGUCUCUU
Molecule: unclassified non-coding RNA, 297 nt
Organism: Callithrix jacchus (white-tufted-ear marmoset)
Lineage: Eukaryota; Metazoa; Chordata; Mammalia; Primates; Cebidae
Rfam family: Metazoan signal recognition particle RNA
About the family: The signal recognition particle (SRP) is a universally conserved ribonucleoprotein. It is involved in the co-translational targeting of proteins to membranes. The eukaryotic SRP consists of a 300-nucleotide 7S RNA and six proteins: SRPs 72, 68, 54, 19, 14, and 9.
Source: Ensembl